CCUACGGGUGGCAGCAGUAGGGAAUAUUGCUCAAUGGGGGAAACCCUGAAGCAGCAACGCCGCGUGGAGGAUGAAGGUUUUCGGAUUGUAAACUCCUUUUGUUAGAGAAGAUAAUGACGGUAUCUAACGAAUAAGCACCGGCUAACUCCGUGACAGCAGCCGCGGUAAUACGGAGGGUGCAAGCGUUACUUGGAAUCAGUGGGCGGAAAGAGCACGUAGGCGGGAAAGCAAGUCAGAUGUGAAAGCCUAGGGCUUAACCAUAGAACUGCAUUUGAAACUGGUAUUCUAGAGUAUGGGAGAGGGAGGUAGAAUUCUUGGUGUAGGGGUAAAAUCCGUAGAGAUCAAGAGGAAUACUGAUUGCGAAGGCGACCUGCUGGAACAUUACUGACGCUGAUGCGCGAAAGCGUGGGGAGCAAACAGGAUUAGAUACCCUAGUAGUC
Molecule: ribosomal RNA, 440 nt
Filed under: uncultured bacterium
Lineage: Bacteria
Description: partial 16S ribosomal RNA
Rfam family: Bacterial small subunit ribosomal RNA
Source: RNAcentral